Molecule: ribosomal RNA, 459 nt
Filed under: uncultured bacterium
Lineage: Bacteria
Description: partial 16S ribosomal RNA
Rfam family: Bacterial small subunit ribosomal RNA
Source: RNAcentral
ACGGGAGGCAGCAGUGAGGAAUUUUCCGCAAUGGGCGAAAGCCUGACGGAGCGACGCCGCGUGAGGGAUGAAGGUUUUCGGAUCGUAAACCUCUUUUAUUAAGGAAAAACGUAUAUGUGCUCAUACCACAUAUGCUUGAUGGUACUUAUUGAAUAAGCCCCGGCUAACUACGUGCCAGCAGCCGCGGUAAUACGUAGGGGGCGAGCGUUGUCCGGAGUUACUGGGCGUAAAGAGCGUGUAGGCGGUUGGUUAAGUCAGGUGUGAAAAUCUUCAGCUCAACUGAGGAACUGCGCCUGAAACUGAUUGACUGGAGUCUUGGAGGGGCAACUAGAAUUCCUGGUGUAACGGUGAAAUGUGUAGAUAUCAGGAGGAAUACCUGUGGCGAAGGCGGGUUGCUGGACAAUGACUGACGCUGAGACGCGAAAGCGUGGGUAGCAAACAGGAUUAGAUACCCUGGUA